Molecule: ribosomal RNA, 465 nt
Filed under: uncultured bacterium
Lineage: Bacteria
Description: partial 16S ribosomal RNA
Rfam family: Bacterial small subunit ribosomal RNA
Source: RNAcentral
CCUACGGGAGGCAGCAGUAGGGAAUCUUCCACAAUGGGCGAAAGCCUGAUGGAGCAACGCCGCGUGGGUGAAGAAGGUCUUCGGAUCGUAAAACCCUGUUGUUAGAGAAGAAAGUGCGUGAGAGUAACUGUUCACGUUUCGACGGUAUCUAACCAGAAAGCCACGGCUAACUACGUGCCAGCAGCCGCGGUAAUACGUAGGUGGCAAGCGUUAUCCGGAUUUAUUUGGCGUAAAGGGCACGCAGGCGGUCUUUUAAGUCUGAUGUGAAAGCCUUCGGCUUAACCGGAGUAGUGCAUUGGAAACUGGGAGACUUGAGUGCAGAAGAGGAGAGUGGAACUCCAUGUGUAGCGGUGAAAUGCGUAGAUAUAUGGAAGAACACCAGUGGCGAAAGCGGCUCUCUGGUCUGUAACUGACGCUGAGGUUCGAAAGCGUGGGUAGCAAACAGGAUUAGAUACCCGUGUAGUC